This is a non-coding RNA of Pelobates cultripes (western spadefoot toad), 626 nucleotides long. The record is from the annotation of a GenBank genome assembly. NCBI's taxonomy places the organism in Eukaryota, Metazoa, Chordata, Amphibia, Anura, Pelobatidae.
CUGACGGUGGGCCAGAAUGUGUGGAGUAUAGCUGGUGUUCUGUACCAUCUAGUGACUCUUUUGUAAAAGGUCUCUUUACGGGCCACACUAAUAGGGGUUCUAAUCCCUGUUUCCAUAAUGUCUGUCCAGUCCCUGUCCGUCAUAUGUAUAUGGAGGUCUCUCAUCCAUUUCUGUUGGAAUGUAGGUGGUGUAUGCUCGACUUCAGUUGUCUGAAUAAUGCGAUAUAUUUUUGAUAGGGGUCGUUUUGAGUCGCUCUUUGGGCCACAUAGGUUUUCAAAGGGAGUAAUAUCUCUUGGACGCCAAAAGGGGAUGACCGACCUAUUUAAAAAGUUCUUAAGUUGUGUUCUGCCCAUAAUAUCGAGGAGUGUAUCCUGUCUAUUCCGUCUAGGGAGAGUUUUAAUGUGGGUGGGUCCCCGGCUGUCAGAACCUCAGUGAUGUCUGGGUUUGGCGAUCCUGUAAGCCUUACUAGGGUGGAACUCCCCUGUCCUCUCUGGAAGUCUAGGUUGCCUGCUAAGGGGAAAAACUUAGUGCCGGGGAUAGUCCCCAUGUGUCUUCGUAUCGUCUCCAUUUUGUGAGGGCAUUGUGAUUGAGUGGGUGAUGCGUUGGGGAGAGUUCCUUGAGUUGAC